GUGCUGAAGCGUUCUUAAAAACGUGAUUGUGAACUGAGCUAUCAUCGUAGCACAUCCAGUUUGAAAAACCACUUGAUGGCCAAGCACACUGCUGAUGCGAACUCUCCGCCCCCUCGUCAUAGCCAGACAAAAAUGGAUGACGACAGAAAAACAUGGAUACUGUCACUAAGAACAAACUUAUUGCAGCCAUAGCUAAAUAGGUGGCUACUGCGUGUAGGCCUGUUAACGUUGUGGAGGACGAGGGUCUAGCUGAUAUCAUACACAUCGCAUCCAACGACUGGACCUACGAAUUGCAUUCGAGAGCCACCAUUACAAGCCACGUUCAGAAGUUGCACAAAACUGAGAAGGCUAAGGUACAGCAGGCAUUGGAGAAGACAAAAGCAGUCGCGCUCACUGGUGAUUACUGGACGUCCCUCAGUAAUCACAACUACCUCGGGGUCACAGCCCAUUUCUUUGAUCGACAGUGGAAACUUGAGUCAUAUGCUUUGACUGUUAUGAAGACAGAAGAGAGGCACGCUGUUGCAGAGCACUUUAUGAAAGUAGCUGGAGAGUGGGACAUCGAACUGACAACGGAUAGUGCACGUAAUAUGAUUGCAGCAGCCAGGCAGCUCCCCUUUGAGCACAUGCCGUGCAUCGCACACAGUGUGCACCGAGCCGUCACGGUUUCUCUAACCAACAGCCCGUUUGACAGUGCAUUGGCAAAAUGCAGAAGAGUUGUGGGUCAUUUUAAGCAUAGCCCAGCAAACCAAGCGGAGCUCGAGCAGCAAGAAGUCACACAUCAUCAAAAGACAGAGUCACUCGCACAGGAAGUGUCAACUAGAUGGAAUAGUACCCUGGAAAUGAUCAAGCGUGUUCAUCGGAAUGCUGAACCUCUGAGAGAUGCACUGGCCCUGCACACAACCAACGCCGCCAUGCCAACAGCUGCUGAGCUGGAGCUGAAACUGAAGAAGCUCGAGGCUGUGCCGGAGCCUUGCAGGUAUGUGUCUGAACUUCUAGGAGGAGAGAAGUUUGUGUCGUGCUCAGUGGUGCUGCCAUCGUUGUGUCAUCUGUCGUGAGUGAUGGAGGUCACUGAGGACGACCCAGCUUACAUGAUCAAGUUCAAGGGAACCUUUACAGCAAACAUGGAGGGUCGUAAAGAGAAGACUAACAUCACAUGGCUGAGAGUUGCAACAGCACUUGACCCAAGAUCAGAUUGCCAUGCUUCAUUCUUUAUCAUACUCAUCCUCAUUCACAUAAUUGUUUUUCGCUCAGUGUGUUUCUAUUGUUAGGUUGCUUGCUUCUUUACUUUGUAUUUUUGAAAUUAGC
Clupea harengus (Atlantic herring) is the source of this 1305-nucleotide long non-coding RNA. Lineage: Eukaryota; Metazoa; Chordata; Actinopteri; Clupeiformes; Clupeidae. The record is from Ensembl.